This 527-nucleotide ribosomal RNA is filed under the name uncultured bacterium. RNAcentral describes it as "bacterial SSU rRNA". It matches the Rfam family "Bacterial small subunit ribosomal RNA", at positions 777 to 1304 of the family's 1533-position model. The record is from RNAcentral.
AAUAGAUACCCCGGUAGUCCUUGCCGUAAACUAUGUAUACUUGGUGUAGCCGGAAUCAACCCUGGCUGUGCCGUAGCUAACGCGAUAAGUAUACCGCCUGGGGAGUACGCUCGCAAGGGUGAAACUCAAAAGAAUUGACGGGGACCCGCACAAGCAGUGGAGCAUGUGGUUUAAUUCGAUGCAACGCGAAGAACCUUACCCAGACUUGACAUACAGUGGAAUUUUGUAGAGAUACAAAAGCUUUUCGGAGCCGCUGAACAGGUGCUGCAUGGCUGUCGUCAGCUCGUGCCGUGAGGUGUUGGGUUAAGUCCCGCAACGAGCGCAACCCUUAUCGUUAGUUGCCAACAGGUAAUGCUGGGAACUCUAGCGAGACUGCCUGGGUUAACCAGGAGGAAGGUGAGGAUGACGUCAAGUCCGCAUGGCCCUUAUGUCUGGGGCUACACACGUGCUACAAUGGUCGGUACAGAAGGCAGCGAAACCGUGAGGUGAAGCAAAUCCCAAAAGCCGGCCCCAGUUCAGAUUGUAGU